GACGAACGCUGGCGGCGUGCUUAACACAUGCAAGUCGAACGGUGAACCUCUUCGGAGGGGAUCAGUGGCGAACGGGUGAGUAACACGUGGGCAACCUGCCCCCGGCUCUGGGAUAACUCCAAGAAAUUGGGGCUAAUACCGGAUGUUCACCGCUUCCCGCAUGGGUGGUGGUGGAAAGGGUUUCCGGCUGGGGAUGGGCCCGCGGCCUAUCAGCUUGUUGGUGGGGUAGUGGCCUACCAAGGCGACGACGGGUAGCCGGCCUGAGAGGGUGACCGGCCACGCUGGGACUGAGACACGGCCCAGACUCCUACGGGAGGCAGCAGUGGGGAAUAUUGCGCAAUGGGCGGAAGCCUGACGCAGCGACGCCGCGUGGGGGAUGACGGCCUUCGGGUUGUAAACCUCUUUCAGCAGGGACGAAGCGCAAGUGACGGUACCUGCAGAAGAAGCGCCGGCCAACUACGUG
This 463-nucleotide ribosomal RNA is filed under the name uncultured bacterium. RNAcentral describes it as "partial 16S ribosomal RNA". It matches the Rfam family "Bacterial small subunit ribosomal RNA", at positions 28 to 507 of the family's 1533-position model. The record is from RNAcentral.